This 26-nucleotide non-coding RNA is filed under the name Mus musculus (house mouse). Lineage: Eukaryota; Metazoa; Chordata; Mammalia; Rodentia; Muridae. The record is from RNAcentral.
UNCCAGAAGUGUCUAGUGGCCUCAGC